GAUGAACGCUGGCGGCGUGCCUAACACAUGCAAGUCGAACGAACACACGAUGAGUGCUUGCUCUUGACGUUGGCGACGGGCGGGUGAGUAACAAGUAGAUAGCCCUCCAAUAUGUCUUGGAGAAUUUCGAGAGACCGGAGCCACUACUAGAGAAUACAACCUACCGGUGGGUUCAGUAGAGAUUGAUGGUUUUGGUGUCUACUAUAGACGGAUCCGCUUUGGCUUGUUGGGUGGGUAAAGUAACGCCAAGGCAAGGAUGCGUAGCCGACCUGAGAGGAUGAUCGGCCACACUGGAACUGAGACACGGUCCAGACUCCUACGGGAGGCAGCAGUAGGGAAUCUUGCGCAAUGGGCGAAAGCCUGACGCAGCCACGCCGCGUGAGUGAUGAAGGUCUUCGGAUCGUAAAGCCCUGUUGUUGGGGAAGAACAAAUGUGUGUGUAAAUACGGACGUCUUGACGGUACCUAAAGAAAAAGCACCGGCUAACUACGUG
This 492-nucleotide ribosomal RNA is filed under the name uncultured bacterium. RNAcentral's name for it is "partial 16S ribosomal RNA". It matches the Rfam family "Bacterial small subunit ribosomal RNA", at positions 28 to 507 of the family's 1533-position model. The record is from RNAcentral.